GACAGAGGCCUCGAGCGUUAGGCGGAAUCACUGGGCUUAAAGCGUGUGUAGGCGGAUCGUUAAGUACCUUGUGAAAUCCCACGGCUCAACCGUGGAACGGCUGGGUAUACUGGCGGUCUUGGGCCAUUCAGGGGCGACUGGAACAAGCGGUGGAGCGGUGAAAUGCGUAGAUAUCUGGGGGAAUACCGGUGGCGAAGGCGGCAUCCUGGACCAUUACUGACGCUGAGGCGCGAAAGCUAGGGGAGCAAACGGG
RNAcentral lists this ribosomal RNA (253 nucleotides) under uncultured bacterium. Its description in RNAcentral is "partial 16S ribosomal RNA". It matches the Rfam family "Bacterial small subunit ribosomal RNA", at positions 524 to 776 of the family's 1533-position model. The record is from RNAcentral.